Camelus dromedarius (Arabian camel) is the source of this 428-nucleotide long non-coding RNA. RefSeq lists it as uncharacterized. NCBI's taxonomy places the organism in Eukaryota, Metazoa, Chordata, Mammalia, Artiodactyla, Camelidae. The transcript has 4 exons. The record is from RefSeq and is a predicted model, not a curated record.
AUUUCCAAUGCCAGCUGGACUAACUUUACUAUGACCUUCCAUAGAGGCCAAGAAAGAAAAGCUAAGGUGGUGGACAGGAGGAACUUGUGUGUUUUGCAAAAACAAUCCAUGGUCUUGGGGAAGAGAAUUACCAUGUGUUGAGCAUCUAUUAUGUGCCAGCCCUGGGGAAAGGCCCUGAACACAAAUUAUCUCCAUUCAUCCUUAUAACAAGCCUGAAAUGACCAGAAGUCAGAAAAUCUAGAUUUGAACCCUAGUUCAGCUGCUCCAAGCCACGAGACUGCAUAAGUGGCAGAUAUUCAUCAAAUGGAGAAUGGCAGGCAGGCUGACCACACACAGAAAAGGAGGUCACUGUGACUUUAACAGGGCAUCACACCUGGGAACUGAGGGACAAUGUACUUGGCCUUGGAGUUUAAAUACUCACUCAGCUC